GUCGUAACAAGGUCUCCGUAGGUGAACCUGCGGAGGGAUCAUUACACAAAUAUGAAGGCGGGCUGGAACCUCUCGGGGUUACAGCCUUGCUGAAUUAUUCACCCUUGUCUUUUGCGUACUUCUUGUUUCCUUGGUGGGUUCGCCCACCACUAGGACAAACAUAAACCUUUUGUAAUUGCAAUCAGCGUCAGUAACAAAUUAAUAAUUACAACUUUCAACAACGGAUCUCUUGGUUCUGGCAUUGAUGAAGAACGCAGCGAAAUGCGAUAAGUAGUGUGAACUGCAGAAUUCAGUGAAUCAUCGAAUCUUUGAACGCACAUUGCGCCCUUUGGUAUUCCAAAGGGCAUGCCUGUUCGAGCGUCAUUUGUACCCUCAAGCUUUGCUUGGUGUUGGGCGUCUUGUCUCUAGCUUUGCUGGAGACUCGCCUUAAAGUAAUUGGCAGCCGGCCUACUGGUUUCGGAGCGCAGCACAAGUCGCACUCUCUAUCAGCAAAGGUCUAGCAUCCAUUAAGCCUUUUUUUCAACUUUUGACCUCGGAUCAGGUAGGGAUACCCGCCGAACUUAAGCA
RNAcentral lists this ribosomal RNA (567 nucleotides) under uncultured fungus. RNAcentral describes it as "eukaryotic LSU rRNA". The stretch from base 210 to 363 matches the Rfam family "5.8S ribosomal RNA". The record is from RNAcentral. Lineage: Eukaryota; Fungi.